Molecule: unclassified non-coding RNA, 21 nt
Filed under: Chlamydomonas reinhardtii
Lineage: Eukaryota; Viridiplantae; Chlorophyta; Chlorophyceae; Chlamydomonadales; Chlamydomonadaceae
Description: small RNA Cre_1591
Source: RNAcentral
GACUCGCAGGUGUGCAAGCCC